GCCCUUCGGGGGUAUCCGAUAAAACUGGAAUGAUAAAGAGAAGAUUAGCAUGACCCCUACGUAAGGAUGACACGCACAAAUCAAGAAAUGGUCCAAAUUUUU
Triticum aestivum (bread wheat) is the source of this 102-nucleotide non-coding RNA. NCBI's taxonomy places the organism in Eukaryota, Viridiplantae, Streptophyta, Magnoliopsida, Poales, Poaceae. The record is from Rfam.